AGAGUUUGAUCCUGGCUCAGGACGAACGCUGGCGGCGUGCCUAAUACAUGCAAGUAGAACGCUGAAGAGAGGAGCUUGCUCUUCUUGGAUGAGUUGCGAACGGGUGAGUAACGCGUAGGUAACCUGCCUUGUAGCGGGGGAUAACUAUUGGAAACGAUAGCUAAUACCGCAUAACAAUGGAUGACACAUGUCAUUUAUUUGAAAGGGGCAAUUGCUCCACUACAAGAUGGACCUGCGUUGUAUUAGCUAGUAGGUGAGGUAACGGCUCACCUAGGCGACGAUACAUAGCCGACCUGAGAGGGUGAUCGGCCACACUGGGACUGAGACACGGCCCAGACUCCUACGGGAGGCAGCAGUAGGGAAUCUUCGGCAAUGGGGGCAACCCUGACCGAGCAACGCCGCGUGAGUGAAGAAGGUUUUCGGAUCGUAAAGCUCUGUUGUAAGUCAAGAACGAGUGUGAGAGUGGAAAGUUCACACUGUGACGGUAGCUUACCAGAAAGGGACGGCUAACUACGUGCCAGCAGCCGCGGUAAUACGUAGGUCCCGAGCGUUGUCCGGAUUUAUUGGGCGUAAAGCGAGCGCAGGCGGUUUGAUAAGUCUGAAGUUAAAGGCUGUGGCUCAAUCCAUAGUUCGCUUUGGAAACUGUCAAACUUGAGUGCAGAAGGGGAGAGUGGAAUUCCAUGUGUAGCGGUGAAAUGCGUAGAUAUAUGGAGGAACACCGGUGGCGAAAGCGGCUCUCUGGUCUGUAACUGACGCUGAGGCUCGAAAGCGUGGGGAGCGAACAGGAUUAGAUACCCUGGUAGUCCACGCCGUAAACGAUGAGUGCUAGGUGUUGGAUCCUUUCCGGGAUUCAGUGCCGCAGCUAACGCAUUAAGCACUCCGCCUGGGGAGUACGACCGCAAGGUUGAAACUCAAAGGAAUUGACGGGGGCCCGCACAAGCGGUGGAGCAUGUGGUUUAAUUCGAAGCAACGCGAAGAACCUUACCAGGUCUUGACAUCCCGAUGCUAUUUCUAGAGAUAGAAAGUUACUUCGGUACAUCGGUGACAGGUGGUGCAUGGUUGUCGUCAGCUCGUGUCGUGAGAUGUUGGGUUAAGUCCCGCAACGAGCGCAACCCCUAUUGUUAGUUGCCAUCAUUCAGUUGGGCACUCUAGCGAGACUGCCGGUAAUAAACCGGAGGAAGGUGGGGAUGACGUCAAAUCAUCAUGCCCCUUAUGACCUGGGCUACACACGUGCUACAAUGGUUGGUACAACGAGUCGCAAGCCGGUGACGGCAAGCUAAUCUCUUAAAGCCAAUCUCAGUUCGGAUUGUAGGCUGCAACUCGCCUACAUGAAGUCGGAAUCGCUAGUAAUCGCGGAUCAGCACGCCGCGGUGAAUACGUUCCCGGGCCUUGUACACACCGCCCGUCACACCACGAGAGUUUGUAACACCCGAAGUCGGUGAGGUAACCAUUUGGAGCCAGCCGCCUAAGGUGGGAUAGAUGAUUGGGGUGAAGUCGUAACAAGGUAACC
RNAcentral lists this ribosomal RNA (1510 nucleotides) under uncultured bacterium. RNAcentral's name for it is "bacterial SSU rRNA". It matches the Rfam family "Bacterial small subunit ribosomal RNA". The record is from RNAcentral.